This 5395-nucleotide long non-coding RNA is filed under the name Brachypodium distachyon (stiff brome). RNAcentral's name for it is "long non-coding RNA (BDIS_LNC001325)". Lineage: Eukaryota; Viridiplantae; Streptophyta; Magnoliopsida; Poales; Poaceae. The record is from RNAcentral.
GCGGCGAUCAUGGCCGCGAUGUCAUCGUCGUCGAAGCGCUCGUCGGCGCCGGCUUUGGCGUAGAAGGACUUGAGGUCCUCGCGGCUGAUGCGGCCGUCGUGGUCCGCGUCGAGCACGUCGAACGCCGGGCGCAGGUCCGCAGCGCCGGCGCCGGCGGGGAGAGCAAGGCCAGCGUACCUGCCGCCGGGGCACAUGCUUGCUUCAGCGGGAGAGGGGAAUGGAAAACUCUGGAACAGUCGACAGCUAGAUCGGAACGCGAUCUCUGGUUUAGCAGGAGAGGCUAAUUGCGGCGCUGCUUGUGCUGUUGGCUCCUGCGCGUUACCAGGGAAAGGAGGCCGCCGCAUUUUAUAGACGAGGCAAUUGUUCCUCCAGGACGCGUGGAGGUUGUUCCUGGACCUGGUCUACCGAUCGGUGAGCCAACGAUCGCACCUUUUGAUCUGGCAGGUUCGCCCGGAGAGACGGGUGUUUCGUGGUGGUGGUGGGCAAGGUCUUGUGGGAAGCUUGAUUAGUCAAUGAGGGAGAUAGCGGUAUUAAAUGGUUUGAUUUGAGGAGAGAAAGAGCUUGGAGACUUGGAGAGCAAGGACCAUGCGUUGCUGGGGUCGCGCGUACGGCCUUGGCCGGUCCAAACGGGAAGACGUGUAGGGUGACGUCAAACCGUCAGUCGACUUGAGCAUCGCUGCCGCAUCGUCUCUUUCCAGGUGAGAUCCCUGUAGCGUCAGCCGGGGCUUCGAACGCGUGCGGCGUUGCGGCUUCGAUGAGUCAUGAGUUUGUAGCUUUCGUAACGAAUGAUGUACUACCAAAAUACAAUUAACAAGGUCUAACAACAGCUUGUCACUUGUCAGCAAGAGCUAGCUCGAUCGAUAGCGAUCGAUGCGCGCGUAAUUGCUUUUGUCAUGUGCGUAUGCAGAACAACUGAGUUAUCACGCCGAAUACUUCCAGGGUCAAAUGAACUGCUUCAAUAAUACUCUUACUUGUCUUCGCUUUGAGCAAAGCUGGAAAUCGAACAACGCAGAUACUUCAUAAAACUAGAAGCUCUAUCAAUGUCCUUUGAAGUCAAAUUCUCUUGAUCCACCGUUCAUCUCUUGACGUAUUUGGGAGAAAAUUGCAAGAUAACAUGUCUCCACAUGUUUAACUAACCUCAGAGGUUUUGAAUAGCCACAUGACCUGCACACUUUAGACGGUGAGAACUUAAGAUUAUUGAACGCAUCAUGGCUGGCGUCAUACCUGCGAGACAAGUUACGAAACUGCAUUACCGGCGAAUCAACAAGGAAAAAAACCCAAAACACGAAAAAACAUGUCGUGAGAACCACUGACUCCAGAUAGCUUGCAACGACUAAACCAGGAGGAAAUUAUUCUGAAGUAAUUUUCUUUCCUCAUAAACCCCAAGAGUUGCGCCAACUACGCCAUCAAGGUCCUGGAGGGAACAUGAAUAAGUAGUAUUGACAGGACAUUGUCACAAUGCCUAUUCAUGGAUGUGACUUUAAGAUAGGCUCACUGUGGACAAGACCUAGAAAAGACAUGCAACUGAAAGGGUAUUGUGUUCAAAUGAGCAUAAUGAGGAUAGAGAUUCUAGGGGAAAUUCAUCGAGUCAGGUCCAGUGCUUCAUAUCCCCACAAUUAUCAGGCAAGACCCAAGCUAAAUCAUCAAAUUGCCAAUAUUAUCAAAGAUAAUAUUAUCCACCAUUGCCUCGGAGGUUGUGUCCCCGCCCAAUUUGCUCGUUAUGACUUUGGGUUUUGGGUUAAUUUGAUGUAUGCCACUGCAAUUUUUGCGAAAUUUAAAAACACCACUGCAAUUCUCAUCCUUUGAAAAAUGACAUUGCAGUGGUAUCUUUCAACCCAUUGGAGUGACAUUUUUUGAGGAAUCUACCAAAUUUAGUGGUACUUUAAAAAAAAUGAGAAUUAUAGUGGCAUUUUCAAAUUCGUCAAAAUUGCAGUGGCAUAUAUCAAAUUAACCCUUGCUUUUACUUGUGUGUGUCUCAUCGUCCUCGUCCACUAUAAUUAAUUGUAGCGGUUGGACCUUGGUGUUUAUUGAUGUGUGAUUGCGUAAAUUCCUAUAUAAUAAGUGAUGUUCUGAUAGAUAAUUCUUGCAUGCCAUAGAAAUUAAUAAGACAUUUCCGGCGAAUCUUGGAAUUACUUGGCACGUAACAGUUUUUUGUAUUUUUGUUGUGGUUCCUAAAACAUGUAGUGUGCAAAUUCUUGUAAGCUUCAAACAUUGGUUGAAAAUGGGAUAAAUCACCGGUUGAAAAGACAAGUGCACAUAUGGAGUAAGCAUGUAAUUCAAAAUAAUAGGUGAUUGAUUUAUACACAACAUCCCUUUUUUUAUUCUUGUAUGUUUCAACUGGUAAUUUAAAAACUAACUAAUUGAAAUCGACAAGGACCGAGCUUCCGCUUCUCUAGACAACUUGUUUGGCAAUAUGUGGAAAGAGGAAUGUGAGUUUAGAGGAGGGAGAUUAGAUGAUAUUAGACAUGGGAAAUCGAGUUUUAGUCUCAGUCCCUUGCUUGGCAUGAGAUGGGGAAUACAAGUGAGAAUAAACGAGAAAGAUCUAUUUCAAUGUUUAGUUGGUGGGAGUUCAUGAGGAAUUACCUUAGAGUGGAUAAUAUAAAUUACGUUGAACGGUUGGGAUCAUCCUUCCGAAACAAUUCAUACUCCUUCCAUGUAUUAAAAUAGUGGGAAUUAGUCCCUCAACUCCCAUGCCCAAUUUCUCGCUGACCAAACACAUGACUUAACAUCACGUACCAAUCAACUCCAAUUCCUUUUCCCUAAUUCCCUCCAACUAGUUCACUUGACACAUGCCCAAUUCCCUCAAUAGUUCAACAUUUAACCCCUAAUUUUCUAAGAAAUAUCCAAAUAUAUCGUAUAUAUGAGUUCUUACACUUAAAUUGGCAUAUAACUAGAUACAGUUUCCAAUAGGAGCGUCCGGCAAAAGUCUUAUGCUGGAAAUAUUGUUACGGUGCUGCCUUCUAGAACAUACCCCAUACCUCAAAUCAAUCAAUAUAAUAUAGGAACAAAUCUGGCUCAAAGUUUCAAAAUGAAUUAUGAGAAAUUAACAUAUGUGGCAUGAACAAAUUUCCAGUUGACCAAACACCACGAGGUAUUAAGCAGGCAGGUCACUAUGGAUAUACCGGUACAUACCUCGGGCCGGACUUCACAAAGCCCUGCAGUAAGCCAGGCCAUUCGGGCAGCCCAUUCCCCGAUCUAACUAUGGACAAUGAAGCAAAAAUAUGGUACCACGAGUUUAUAAGUCUAUAAGAAACGGUUGUAACUUUACCGAGACAUUAUUAUGGAAAGAGGUAAUUGCACCACUGGCACAAGAACUUGAGAGGUGGGAGCAUUUUAGUGCAUCUUCUUGUAAACUGAGCAAAACUAGUCCUGAAACUUGCGAUGCGGAUUGAGUGGUCCAAGCGAAUCAGGAGGCAACAUGUGGCCUAUUUAGUGGCCCAAACAGGUUUGUCUUUUUGCUAAAAACCUCCCGCGCCUUUUACAAAUUAGUCCCGAAAUACCCCUCUUCUCCAAUCUUUUACUUGGCCCCUCCUCCCCAUUUCCCGGAGUCAUUCCCAUGAGCGAACCUCUAACCUUAGAAUUUCCGUCGACGACAAUGCUGAAGAAAUUGACUCGGCGGUUGUAGCUUAAGAGCAAGUAGUGGUGGAGGUAUCGUCCCAUUUACGGAGCCGAGGCUCGAGCGGCAUCGUCGUUGGUCGCCGCCGAUGAUUGCCCGCAGUGUCCUCCAUGCGCGAAGACAGAGACAUGAGACGAAGUGGUUUUUGUUGGUUUAAUCGCACGGUGCCCUCUCUGACCGUGUAGGAGGACUUGUGUACAAAUUGUCUCAGUGCGGGGCGCCUUUGUGCAAAACUACCUCGGGCAAAACUCCCUGCAGUUGCCACGUGUCCAAUUCGGACUAAAUGCGCCUGCGUCUCAAGUUUUACAAAAAGGUGGACAAAAAUGCUUCCACCUCUCAAAUUCGCAAUUAACUCUUAUGGGAAACUACUCGGUACCUUCGAGAAAUAGAAAAAUGGCUCGACUUUUUAGUUUUAUUUUACAAUGUUCACGAGAGUAAGUACGAAUAGUUAUUUCUUGCAAAGCUUAAGGCAUUGAUUAGAAAAUGGGUGAGCCAAUGGCUGAACAAACAAAUAUCAUGCAUGUGAACUGAGCCUAGCUCAGUCGGCUUAGUUUCUUGUGGUGGAACCAGUCCACUGAGGUUCAAAUCUUAAACUUGACAUGUGUGUCAAUGCUAUCAUCAUAUGUCUCGGAACAAUAAAAUGAAACCUGCAUACUUUUAUUUGUUACCCUUACUAAACCGCGGUAAGGAUACGAAUACGACUUAACUAAUAUAAGGAUCAGAAUAAGUACUAAUGCUUUGUACCAGGAUUUAACCGGCGCUAUUCUUUAAGUGUCUUUUAUGCAAAUUUGAGACAUUUAAGACCUUACAAAUCAGUUUUUUUUUUGUUCGUUUGAUAAAUUCUACGCUUGUGUAUUGCCAUGUUACAUCGAUUUUACUGAACCUAAAAAAAAUUUAGUCGUCCCAUCCCUGAACGAAAAUCCUAGCUCCCCCACUGGUUCUAAAAAAAAGUUGUCAUGCACGAACUAAAUACAAACCAACUUUUGGGGGAAAAGUUAGAAACAGACAGAGAACAAUCUACAAAAAGUUGGAAUAGCUGGUUAAAACAAACCAAGACGAUACACACAACACUCUCGCCUAACGAGAAUUACUCAACAAUGACUUCACGAGCUCUGUUCCCCACAAACCAACUUUUGGGGGAAAAGUCCCAGAAAAAUUUACAUUCCAAUUCUUUUGGAGUUUUCAGAGGAUGCCAUCCAAAUCUACGGCGAGCACUCUGGCAAACGCCUCGAGCCCUACGCCGCCAUCGACGUCGCCAGCCAUACCUAUCAUGGCGCGGAUCUCGUCGUCGGCGACGGGCAUCCCGGCCCACCCGAGGUAGGCCUUGAGGUCCUCGAAGCCCACCUUGCCGUCCCCGUCGCGGUCCAUCAGCCUGAACGCGUCCUCCAUCGCGGACCGGCACCCGCCUGCUGUCCCCGUCGCGGCAGCGCGGCCGAGGAGGCCUUCGAACUCGUCGUACUGCACGAACCCGUCGUGGUCGGCGUCGGCGGCGGCGAUCAUGGCCGCGAUGUCGUCGUCGUCGAAGGGCUCGUGGGCGCCGGCUUUGGCGUAGAAGGACUUGAGGUCCUCGCGGCUGAUGCGGCCGUCGUGGUCCGCGUCGAGCACGUCGAACGCCGGGCGCAGGUCCGCCGCGCCGGCGCCGGCGGGGAUAUCAAGGCCCGCGUACCUGCCGCCGGGGCACAUGCUUGUUUGAUUGCUCCGGCGCGAGAAUGGAAAGGAAAGCUCGGGAGUAGAUCGGAACUGGUUGCUCCGGCGCGAGAAGGGAAUGGAAAGCUCGGG